GACGAACGCUGGCGGCGUGCCUAAUACAUGCAAGUCGAACGAACGGAUUGAGGAGCUUGCUCUUCAAGAAGUUAGUGGCGGACGGGUGAGUAACACGUGGGUAACCUGCCCUUCAGCGGGGGAUAACAUCCGGAAACGGGUGCUAAUACCGCAUAGUUCUUUUUCCGCCUGGAAGAAGAAGGAAAGAUGGCCUUUGCGCUAUCGCUGAAAGAUGGCCUCGCGUCUGAUUAGCUAGUUGGUGAGGUAACGGCCCACCAAGGCGACGAUCAGUAGCCGGACUGAGAGGUUGAACGGCCACAUUGGGACUGAGAUACGGCCCAGACUCCUACGGGAGGCAGCAGUGGGGAAUAUUGGGCAAUGGGCGCAAGCCUGACCCAGCAACGCCGCGUGAAGGAAGAAGGCUUUCGGGUUGUAAACUUCUUUUGUCAGGGACGAGUAGAAGACGGUACCUGACGAAUAAGCCACGGCUAACUACGUG
Molecule: ribosomal RNA, 478 nt
Filed under: uncultured bacterium
Lineage: Bacteria
Description: bacterial SSU rRNA
Rfam family: Bacterial small subunit ribosomal RNA
Source: RNAcentral